CCUACGGGGGGCAGCAGUGGGGGAUAUUGCACAAUGGAGGAAACUCUGAUGCAGCAACGCCGCGUGAGGAAGAAGGUCUUCGGAUUGUAAACCUCUGUCCUCAGGGACGAUAAUGACGGUACCUGAGGAGGAAGCUCCGGCUAACUACGUGCCAGCAGCCGCGGUAAUACGUAGGGAGCAAGCGUUGUCCGGAUUUACUGGGUGUAAAGGGUGCGUAGGCGGCCCUGCAAGUCAGGUGUGAAAACUAUGGGCUUAACUCAUAGAUUGCACUGGAAACUGUGGGGCUUGAGUGAAGUAGAGGCGGGCGAAAUUCCGGGUGGAGGGGGAAAGUGCGGAGAGAUGGGGAAGAACACAAGGGGCGAAGGGGGCCGGCGGGGUUUUAACGGACGUUGGGGCACGAAAGCGUGGGUGGCAAACAGAAUUAAAUACCCUGGUAGUC
Molecule: ribosomal RNA, 439 nt
Filed under: uncultured bacterium
Lineage: Bacteria
Description: bacterial SSU rRNA
Rfam family: Bacterial small subunit ribosomal RNA
Source: RNAcentral